RNAcentral lists this ribosomal RNA (502 nucleotides) under uncultured Glomeromycotina. RNAcentral describes it as "partial small subunit ribosomal RNA". It matches the Rfam family "Eukaryotic small subunit ribosomal RNA", at positions 591 to 1092 of the family's 1831-position model. The record is from RNAcentral. Lineage: Eukaryota; Fungi; Glomeromycota.
CCAAUAGCGUAUAUUAAAGUUGUUGCAGUUAAAAAGCUCGUAGUUGAAUUUCGGGAUCAAUUCGUCGGUCGUGCUUUUUUGGUACGUACUGGGGUUAUUGGUUUCUCCCUUCUGACGAACCAUGAUGUCAUUAAUUUGGUGUUAUGGGGAGUUAGGACUGUUACUUUGAAAAAAUUAGAGUGUUUAAAGCAGGCAUUAGCUUGAAUACAUUAGCAUGGAAUAAUGAAAUAGGACGUUCGAUCCUAUUUUGUUGGUUUCUAGGAUCAACGUAAUGAUUAAUAGGGAUAGUUGGGGGCAUUAGUAUUCAAUUGUCAGAGGUGAAAUUCUUGGAUUUAUUGAAGACUAACUACUGCGAAAGCAUUUGCCAAGGAUGUUUUCAUUAAUCAAGAACGAAAGUUAGGGGAUCGAAGACGAUCAGAUACCGUCGUAGUCUUAACCAUAAACUAUGCCGACUAGGGAUCGGAUGAUGUUAAUUUUUUAAUGACUCAUUCGGCGCCUUACG